GAUGAACGCUGGCGGCGUGCCUAAUACAUGCAAGUCGAGCGAAUGGAUUAAGAGCUUGCUCUUAUGAAGUUAGCGGCGGACGGGUGAGUAACACGUGGGUAACCUGCCCAUAAGACUGGGAUAACUCCGGGAAACCGGGGCUAAUACCGGAUAACAUUUUGAACCGCAUGGUUCGAAAUUGAAAGUCGGCUUCGGCUGUCACUUAUGGAUGGACCCGGGUCGCAUUAGCUAGUUGGUGAGGUAACGGCUAACCAAGGCAACGAUGCGUAGCCGACCUGAGAGGGUGAUCGGCCACACUGGGACUGAGACACGGCCCAGACUCCUACGGGAGGCAGCAGUAGGGAAUCUUCCGCAAUGGACGAAAGUCUGACGGAGCAACGCCGCGUGAGCGAUGAAGGCUUUCGGGUCGUAAAACUCUGUUGUUAGGGAAGAACAAGUGCUAGUUGAAUAAGCUGGCACCUUGACGGUACCUAACCAGAAAGCCACGGCUAACUACGUGCCAGCAGCCGCCGUAA
Molecule: ribosomal RNA, 515 nt
Filed under: uncultured bacterium
Lineage: Bacteria
Description: partial 16S ribosomal RNA
Rfam family: Bacterial small subunit ribosomal RNA
Source: RNAcentral